RNAcentral lists this unclassified non-coding RNA (259 nucleotides) under rhizosphere metagenome. RNAcentral describes it as "partial ribosomal RNA internal transcribed spacer region". The record is from RNAcentral.
AGAGCAAUGGAUAGACAGCGCCCCGGGAGAAAUCCUGGGGGCCACCCGACUUCGGUUGGGUUUAGAGUCGUCAGGCCUCUCGGAGAAGCCUGGUCCAGACCUCCACCCUUGAAUAAAUUACCUUUGUUGCUUUGGCAGGGCGCCUCGCGCCAGCGGCUUCGGCUGUUGAGUACCUGCCAGAGGACCACAACUCUUGUUUUUAGUGAUGUCUGAGUACUAUAUAAUAGUUAAAACUUUCAACAACGGAUCUCUUGGUUCU